UAACCAAACUCUGUGUUUUGAGUAGGCGUAGAUUAGGGUUUCGUUGUUAUGGUUCCUCGACUCUUCAACCUCGCCGCACCGUUAACCUUAAGUCUCCAAACACAAUGAUUCAUUUUCUCAACUCCUAACCUUCCCUUAGGUUCAACAUAUUCUUCUUAAUUUCGUCAAUAAAUGUUGUUCAAUAACAAUCCCGACCUUUCUGUUUCCUUCCUAUACAUCAAACCUAUAAGUUAGAGCUCCUACUUCUUGACGACCUUCCAGAUUAAGGUAGAUGAUUCCAGUCACAUCACUGAUUCUCGAUUCAAGACCUUUGGCUGUGGCGCCUCCAUCGCCGCUUCUUCCGUCACUUCUGAAUGGGUUAAGGGAGAAACGGUAUCGGAAGUUUUGACUAUUAAUAACACGGCAAACGCAAAGCAUCUUCGCUUACCUCCGGUCAAGUUGCAUUGCAGUGUACUUACUGAGGAUGCCAUCAAGAAGAAGAAAGCAAUUGCUGAUGCAGCCGUGGCUUGAUUCUAUUGAUUCUACUGAUGAUGUUACGUCAUGAACUCCAUCUGAUUCCUCAUGUUAGAUAAAGGACAAAUAAACAUCUAGAUUUAGAUGUUGAUCCAUUUAUGUGUUCGUUUCUUCCAUACAUUUUCCGCCUUGGUCGGUCCUCUCACGUGGUUGUUGGUCGGCUCCUUCGUUUAUGGGAUUCAGCAAAACAUCAAGAAGAAUGAAGAGUUCAUGGGUAUUACCCUGGUGCUUCUUGAUAAAAAGGAAACCUCUACCUCAACUCCACACCGGUGACCCAAUUUUACUUUUGACCCAUCCAUUGCGGCUAUUGAAGUUUUCAGCACAAGAGGUUUGUGGUUCAGAGAGACAUCAUGGCUCUGAAACAUCAACAACAGCAACAUCACUUCUUUGUUGCAGAGAAUGUGGUAAAGGUUUCCCUUGUUCUAAAGCUCUUUGUGGUCACAUGGCUUGUCACUCUGAGAGAGAGAAGAUUUUCAUGGAUAGUUAAUCUGAGACUGAAACUUCUUCAUCACCUAUCAGGAGAAGAUCCAAGAGAGCUGUGAAACUUCAUCAUCAUCACCACAAGGCUGAUGCUUUUGUAAUUGGAGGAAGCAUCAUGAAUCAUCAAUACGGCUCAGCAUCUUCCGAUGACACUGGGAUUGAGUUUCAAGAAAGGACAUAACUCAGUUGUGAACCACUCUUUGUCUGAGUCAUUAGACGACUACUAUGUGAUACUUGAGACCAAGUCAUCUUCAGGAGAACAGGUGAAGAGCUUCAAUGUGAAGAAAGUUGAGGAGUUUUGUAAGAAAGACAAAAGUUGACAACAAUUUAAGGAAGAGUGUUAAGCAUACGCUCCCGUGCUAUAUUCCUUUUUAACGCAAACGACUACACAUUUCUGCGACUCAUAUUAGGAAGUGUCGAUAAUAUUUGUAGAAAAAAGUUUUGUACAGUUUGAUUCUUCGUUAUAAUGGACUAAACACAUGGAAUCAUAUAAAGACCUUA
Molecule: long non-coding RNA, 1494 nt
Organism: Brassica napus (rape)
Lineage: Eukaryota; Viridiplantae; Streptophyta; Magnoliopsida; Brassicales; Brassicaceae
Exons: 4
Source: RefSeq, a predicted model, not a curated record